RNAcentral lists this long non-coding RNA (1435 nucleotides) under Apteryx rowi (Okarito brown kiwi). RNAcentral describes it as "lncRNA (ENSARWG00000005784.1)". Lineage: Eukaryota; Metazoa; Chordata; Aves; Apterygiformes; Apterygidae. The record is from RNAcentral.
AAAGCAUACCUGGCUUUGCAGCACAUUUCCAAGUGGAGUCAAAAUGAUUUCCAAGUAUGUGAAUAAAUAAGAACUAAAAAAAAAAUCAUUUUGCAAACAGUUUAAAUGACAUUAUAAGGACAAGGUGGAGUUUGACACACACAAUGAACCACCCUUUGCCUCAAAUACCCCCAAACCCAGGUAAAUCGUGGAGGUUAUUUUGCCCUUUUGUCUCUUCCUUCCUGUUUAGACUUGUCCUGCUGGAAGAAAAACCAUGCAGUUUGAAACACAUACCCUUUUGCUCAAAUCCCUCGCUGCAGAGCACAGAGCCGGCAUAAGUGCUCAGUGGCCAGUCCUUGAAAUCCCAUUAAAUGGUAACGCUUAAAAACUUGUCCAUGMAGAAGAAAAAGGAAUCGCAAAAAGACACGUGGAUUUGGAAGAAGCAUAGGGGGGUUGGUGGUACAGCAUUUGUCGGAGAAGUUUAGGAUGUAAUUGCUUCCACCCCUCCUGUCCCAAAAACCUAACAAAGGAUAUAAGGGCUUUGAAAAAUCCUUGCAAAUAGGAGCCGGCGGUAAUUUUUAGAGGCAUGCAGGAAUUUUCCAUGUGCAUUUUAAAAUGCUUCCUUCUGUUAGCGUUUUGAGAGUCAGCCGGCUUGUCCGACUUUAAUCCUUGCUCACCCUAUAGAGGAAGCUAGCAACUUUUACUACGAAGCAGUGUCCCUAUUGGUCCUGCGCCCAGAUUUACUUGGGGGACACUGGCCUGUGUGCUAGCCAGAACAGCUGCUUGCCCGACAGCUGCCAAGCAGGAACAGGGGCACCAUGUUUGGUCCUUCUUGGCAAAGAGGGGAAGAAGCCAUAUUUAGCGUACGGAUCGGCAUUUGCAAGAACCGCGAGGCUCUUUGUUGCGAAAUUAUACUUUUCCGACACAGACCGCUUGCCUGGUCACCUCAGCUUCCCGAGCGGGAAUUGCUAGCUUGGGUGCUGCGAUCGCUGCUUUGUGCGGACUAUGCCACAUCUCCUUAGUGGGAGAGCUACUUCUUGCGGCCAUCUCCCUGGCAGAUGAACAAAACAGAAUUACCGUGCCUGGGGCCUGGGGGAAGGCAAGCUUUUAUAUACGCGCGAGAGUUUUACACUUAGAGUUUGUAAAUCCAAGCAUACAGCACUGCAGAGCUCCUGGGCAGGAUGAUCCCACAAAAGUCCCAGUGUCAGUCACUGGCCCCGCUCAGGGCACAUCGCUGUCUUCACCAUGCUGUCACGGCUUGCUCUUCCUUGCAGCCUGGCCCGAGGACCGUGCAGCCCUUCCACUCGGCAGCCUCCUGGAGCUUUCCAGCUUGGGCAAGGUGCUUCGGUUUCAAAGCAUCACGAGCAAGAAAUGAGCAGUGAAAUUGCAGCCAAAUGGUGGGGGCUGGCAGCAGGAAGAUGAACUAGGCACAGGGAUGAGCUGUAAUAUCACACAG